This is a non-coding RNA of Struthio camelus australis, 323 nucleotides long. The record is from RefSeq and is a predicted model, not a curated record. NCBI's taxonomy places the organism in Eukaryota, Metazoa, Chordata, Aves, Struthioniformes, Struthionidae.
GGGGGGCGACACCCACUUCGGCGGCGCCGAGCCCUGGACCGCCCGCAACGAUGACCUCAGCGGGAACGACCUCUUCCUGGUGGCGGUGCACGAGCUGGGCCACGCGCUGGGGCUGGAGCACUCCAGCGACCCCUCGGCCAUCAUGGCCCCCUUCUACCAGUGGAUGGACACCGAGGCCUUCGUCCUCCCCGACGAUGACCGCCGCGGCAUCCAGCAGCUCUACGGCAGCAAGACGGGGACAGGGCCCAGCCGGGCACCUCCGGGACCCCGCACCACGGCCCGGCCCCACGGCCCUGACCGGCCGCCCGGACCCCCCUACGGCC